AUUAAACCACAGGGGAUUUCCUCAUUAUUGCGACAAUUCCAUCCCCAGAAAUAUCCCACGUGCCUGAGGUGGCGGCCAUCUCUUCGUAGGGAGACUGUCGGAGCUUCCUUUUAAACAGACUCUGCCCUGUCUCUGUGAAGACGUUCAGGAAGUCAUGAGCGAAGAGACCGUGAGCCUCUCCCAAACCCCGCAUGUGCUGACAUCUCCACGUGUGCUGUGUCCUGGGUAGGCUUUCUUCAUAGACCGUGCUUCCGUCUGUCUGGAGUUUCCGCUUCAUCCAUCUGUCCACAGGGAGGACGCACACCCCUGAGUCCGAGGCCACACCACGCAUUCUGUAGAAACUCUCACUGCCCAGGGAGCACACUUUAUUAGGAAAGCUCCAGGUUCACAGAGGCUCUGGGCUCUCUCUGGGCCCGACGCCCUUCACUGUUUGAACUCAGCAGCUGCCUGCAGGUGCGGAGGACAUGCACCUUCCAGCCUUUGUCCUUUCCUGGCCUUCUCGUCAAUCUUACCGUCUGUCGGCCCUAAGUGGAUGCUCGGGGGAUCCUGCUCUGGAACAAGAGUCUCUCCUGCACCCACCCAGUCUGAGCACCAGCCAAGAUCUUUCCCUUCUUAUUCUCACCUUCCUACAGUUUGCAGAGAUGAACAUGGAUGAGAGGAGACUCAGGGACCUGAUGACCCCCGACGGCCGUGGGCU
Molecule: long non-coding RNA, 697 nt
Filed under: Homo sapiens (human)
Lineage: Eukaryota; Metazoa; Chordata; Mammalia; Primates; Hominidae
Description: HSALNT0299837
Source: RNAcentral